AGCGAGAUGUGAAAGCCCCGGGCUCAACCUGGGAAUUGCAUUUCGAACUGGCGAACUAGAGUCUUGUAGAGGGGGGUAGAAUUCCAGGUGUAGCGGUGAAAUGCGUAGAGAUCUGGAGGAAUACCGGUGGCGAAGGCGGCCCCCUGGACAAAGACUGACGCUCAGGCACGAAAGCGUGGGGAGCAAACAGGAUUAGAUACCCUGGUAGUCCACGCCGUAAACGAUGUCUACUCGGAGUUUGGUGUCUUGAACACUGGGCUCUCAAGCUAACGCAUUAAGUAGACCGCCUGGGGAGUACGGCCGCAAGGUUAAAACUCAAAUGAAUUGACGGGGGCCGCACAAGCGGUGGAGCAUGUGGUUUAAUUCGAUGCAACGCGAAGAACCUUACCUACUCUUGACAUCCACGGAAUUCGCUAGAGAUAGCUUAGUGCCUUCGGGAACCGUGAGACAGGUGCUGCAUGGCUGUCGUCAGCUCGUGUUGUGA
RNAcentral lists this ribosomal RNA (484 nucleotides) under Shewanella sp. GCM7. Its description in RNAcentral is "bacterial SSU rRNA". It matches the Rfam family "Bacterial small subunit ribosomal RNA", at positions 586 to 1070 of the family's 1533-position model. The record is from RNAcentral. Lineage: Bacteria; Pseudomonadati; Pseudomonadota; Gammaproteobacteria; Alteromonadales; Shewanellaceae.